CCUACGGGUGGCAGCAGUGAGGAAUAUUGGUCAAUGGACGCAAGUCUGAACCAGCCAUGCCGCGUGCAGGAAGACGGCUCUAUGAGUUGUAAACUGCUUUUGUACGAGGGUAAACGCAGAUACGCGUAUUCGUCUGAAAGUACUGUACGAAUAAGGAUCGGCUAACUCCGUGCCAGCAGCCGCGGUAAUACGGAGGAUUCAAGCGUUAUCCGGAUUUAUUGGGUUUAAAGGGUGCGUAGGCGGUCGGAUAAGUUAGAGGUGAAAUCCCGAGGCUCAACUUCGGAAUUGCCUCUGAUACUGUUCGUCUAGAGAGUAGUUGCGGUAGGCGGAAUGUAUGGUGUAGCGGUGAAAUGCUUAGAGAUCAUACAGAACACCGAUUGCGAAGGCAGCUUACCAAGCUACUUCUGACGUUGAGGCACGAAAGCGUGGGGAGCAAACAGGAUUAGAUACCCUUGUAGUC
Molecule: ribosomal RNA, 460 nt
Filed under: uncultured bacterium
Lineage: Bacteria
Description: partial 16S ribosomal RNA
Rfam family: Bacterial small subunit ribosomal RNA
Source: RNAcentral